Molecule: unclassified non-coding RNA, 227 nt
Filed under: Hevea brasiliensis (rubber tree)
Lineage: Eukaryota; Viridiplantae; Streptophyta; Magnoliopsida; Malpighiales; Euphorbiaceae
Source: RNAcentral
AAGGAUAUCAGGCAUUGGUAGCUCAGGAAAAUGAGAAAGAUCGACAAAACCCACUUCUUCAGCCCUUGCAGCAGCAUCUUCAGCUUGUUGGCACAAAAACUUAAGGAGAAGAGAGGUAAUUCUGUAUAUCUGAAUAGACAUUGCAUCUGAAAAGUGUGUCUGCGAAGUCAGGUUAACAUGCUCAUUUGGUUGAUCUUUGAUCACAGUACCAGUUCUAGACGAAAAAG